Gigantopelta aegis is the source of this 1173-nucleotide RNA transcript. It is a transcript of the gene named glycine-rich cell wall structural protein-like, with no coding region annotated. The record is from RefSeq and is a predicted model, not a curated record. NCBI's taxonomy places the organism in Eukaryota, Metazoa, Mollusca, Gastropoda, Neomphalida, Peltospiridae. The transcript is spliced from 3 exons.
UCCUCUCUCAAUAUCUGUGUGAUCCGUAACCAUAUGUCUGACGCCAUAUAACCGUAAGUACAAUGUGUUGAGUGCGUCGUUAAAUGAAACAUUUCCUUCCUUCCAAAGGAGGUGUCACGGGACUCGCAUGGGAUGAAACGGUGAAAAUAAUUGCUUCGUGGAAUAUAACAAUUUAAAGGCCAUAAUCUGUAUUGAAGAAAGCGUGUUCAACAACAAAUAUAAAAAAAAAGUCAACAUAAAAAUAAUUAUAAACGAUAAAUACGCGUGAUUGUAGUGCUGUUCAGGUUUUCCUUUUUAAAACAAGACUAUAUUAAAACAACAGAGAACUAUAUAUUGUUUUACCACUAGUAAUGAUAAAUGGUCAAAAUGUCUUUUAAACCCACUAUAUAAUAAUAUUAUAUGCAGUUUAAAAACUACAACCUGAACUUGGGAGAUAUUGGGAAUAGGUGGGUGUUAGGGGACAAUUUACGGAUCUAUACAAUUAAUCUCACUUACCUUUACAACUUCUUGCAUAACACAAUUUUCUUGUUGUUAAACUUACUGCUGGUGGAAGAAACAAACACUACAUUAAUCAACCAUACAUACAUACGUCAUCGUGGUCAGACCAUUCGUUACAUCUGACCGCUGUCCAUCUACGGACCCAUUGUUCACAUCUCGUAAGAUGACGUCAGAUCGGACAUCUCAUUUGUCACCAGCUAUCGGAUUCCAGCUAUAAAAGACUCCACCUUUCAGUCCAAGACCACAACUGACGUCUGCCAGCUCAAGUACACACACAAACUUUCAUAAUGCAGAAACUCGUCUUGACCUUGGUCGUUGUGUUGGCACUGAUCCAGUUAUCUUUUGCUAGAGGAUUGUGGGGCGGUGGAUGGGGCGGUGGAUGGGGCGGAGGAUGGGGUGGAGGAUGGGGUGGAGGAUGGGGAGGAGGAUGGGGUGGAGGAUUAGGUGGCAUUGGUGCUCUGGGAUUUCUGGGAGGUGACGGAUUCGAAUUAGAUUACGCAAGACGUUUCGGUAGACGAGCGGCCGCAUACCCACUCCCAGUGCCAUACCAUGGAUAAGAUUAAAGUGGACUACGAAUUUUGUACAAGACAUUAUGAAAAGGCACACGUUGUUCCUGUUGUUGUGGACGUAUUGGUGUUGUGGACGUAUUGUAAUAAAUGAGCCAUAUCUACAUAA